This 21-nucleotide small nuclear RNA is filed under the name Arabidopsis thaliana (thale cress). RNAcentral describes it as "snRNA_04195". The record is from RNAcentral. Lineage: Eukaryota; Viridiplantae; Streptophyta; Magnoliopsida; Brassicales; Brassicaceae.
AUUGCAGCCUUUGCAGGUGGA